UGAAGUGGAUUUUAACAGCAACAUCGGUAAGGGAUCACAGCUUUCACCUGGUCAGUAUGUCAUUUGUCAAAUCAGUGUAUCGUAACAGAAGAUGAGACAUAAAGAAGUUGUUCUCAUCAGUCCAUCUGCACGUCACAUGACUGUGCCUCGCCCUGGGCCUGUCCCAAAUGGCACCCUAUUCCCAAUAUGGUGCACUAUAUGGGAAUUGACUACCAUUUGGGACAUAGGCCGUGCCUCCCCUUGUUGUUAUUGAACAGGUCACCUCCCAAGCAGUAAAAAUAAACAUUGCAGACGCCUGCCAGAUCUAAAAACGCCUGGAUAGGUGCUACACAUUCAGCUAACCACAUCAUAUGAUAUAGGAAUCUGAUACCCGACUGCACAGUCAAUUACGUGGCGUGCCACCAUUGGUUGAUGCAAUAUAAUGUCGGCCUGGAACGGGACCAAGACCACAAACGGAACAAACAUCCACCCAUUUUUACAAGAUAAAUCAAUAAUCUGGCUCCAUGCAGUGUAUAGUAUUCCCAUGACAGCCUCGGCUCGUAAGACAUAAGCACACAAAUAAAAAAGCACAAUGCAAAAAUCAAAGAGAAACCUGGAGGCAUAACUCAAGGUUAUAUGUGAAUUACUAGGAUACGGUGAACAAACUGUUUAGUUUUGCUACAACUUUCCAAACAAUCUUGUGAGGAGGACCUAAGCCAGCGAGGGAGAGGUUGGUUGGCUCGUCCCCAGCCAGGCCACAUCCUGUUUCAGUGGAUGUGUCCCAAAUCACAUCCUAUUUCCUUUACAGUACACUGCUUUUGACCAGAUCCCUAUGGGCCCUGGUCAAAAGUAGUGCAUUGCAACAGGACUAGCGUGCCAUUUGGGACACGUGAAGUGAGGAAAAACGACUGGAUUCACUGGAACAGUUUAGGCCUAGUUCCUAUUGUGAGGCAGGAGUCAACAUGCUAGAUGUCUGUCAGACCUCUCCCCUACAAGACUGGCUGCAUUUUAAUCCAAAAAUGUUGUAUCCUUCCACACUGUUUCCCCCUUAGCAAAUCUGAAAUAACUAAAUAGGUGAGAGCUAUAUGAAACUCUAUAUGAACUAUAUGAAUCUAUUGCCCAAUCACUACAGCUAUCCAGUGGUUGCAGAAUCAGAGAGGAGAGAAGUGGGCAAUAGCUGGGACAAGUGGAUGAGCUUUUCGAUUGGAACACAGCCCUGAGCAUAGUAGAGGGAUGGGCUUGCCCAGUGUGCAGAAUAAAUGCAGAUCCUUAUAUUGGUUUGCUGUAAAUAUUUUUGUACAGUGACAGGAACUUGGCAGUGCUACAAUGCAAGGUGAGGGGGGCUGAGUAGCAAAGGCAAUCCACAGAAAGCACAUAAGGGGGAGGGAACAGGUACGAGUGUAACGAUUGCUCCUGUCCAUUCCCCAUUGCAGCAGAGCCAACCUGGGCAGAAAUGGCAGCCAAGCACGCCAGAGGCAGCGAGGUUCCAGCCACUGCCUCAGUGAGAGAGAGCCAGGAGAAGAGCAGUAGAGGUGUCAGGGGGAGCCCCUUCAUUGCUCCGUAGGCAGUCGUCUAGGCCAGCUCCCAGCCAGGCUCAUGCCCACACUAAACCCCAGGUCCUCUUCAGCCUGAAAGGGCUCGUCGCCACCCAGAAGUUCUCCAAGGCACUCAAGGUGGGGGCACAGUAUUCCCUACAUAGUGCACUACUUUUGACAAGGGCUCUGGUCACAAGUAGCGCACUACAUAGGGAAUAGGUUGUAAUUUGGGACGUAGUCAAGGUAAAGCCCCUCAAGGAGCCAGAGGACCCAUUCAAACCAAUGGGACAUGUUCAGUAGGAAGAAAACAUUUAAGAACAGAGUGAAACUGGGAAGUUCACUGUGAAUAUAAAUGCAUGUUGAUGCAAACUGUUUUGCAAUGGUGGGCCCUACUGAACAUGACCAAGUGUUUCUCAUUGAAUACCUAAUUGAAUCACUACAGUCUGCCAGUGAAGUAUCUCUUUUUAACCUUCACGUUGUAUUCAUUCGGAUGAAUAAAUGAUGGAUAUAGAACAUAAGUAGACAUUGGUCGUAUUCACUAGGAACAAAAUGGAAGCAACGGUAUGGGACGACCUGAACCUGUCCUUGUUUUCGUUUUCCGUAUUUAGUGUUCACUAAUAAAUAUGACCCUGUUGUCAUACUGGAUCGCUCUGUUAAGUUUUUAAUUGUGUGUACUCAGGAACGCAUUGCACUGAAGAUUGCAAUGAGGAACAUCCCGGCAAGGAAACCUAUUGUUAUAGUCAAUGAGCAGGUCAGAUCAACACAUACAUAUAGCUACACGCUAAAGUUGAACAGAACAGCCCUGAUCUUUCACCAGUAGUCUAGCCACUUAGCCAACAUUUACCCCUCCCCCUGGCCUGGGCAUAUCUCAGUCUAAAGUGGCUUUGUUUCAUCUCAUUUCCUUCAUCUGCACUGAUAUAGAAGAAACCGGACAGACAAAGGCAAAUUCCUGGUGGCCAACCGUCAUGUUGCAUUCGCAUUUCCUGUGUUUUCAGAGCAGUGCCCAUAAAUGAGAUAAGACAGAGGCAUUUUAGACUGUUAAGACACAUCCCUGGCUGUCUCUUCGGAUUCAAUCUCAAUUUUAGGUCCUUGAUUCUUCAUGUCUUCUCUCCUCACCUUCCCAAAGUGCAUUGGAGGAGAACAGCAGAGGGGAGGAAUCCCAGAUCUUGUCCUCCAAUGCACUUUGGAGCAGAAAGUGAGGACUCAGCCGGCUGUACCGACUCCGAUAGCGUGUCUCGAGUGAGCCAUGUUUCCAUGGCUCACAUGGUGUGCCCCUUGGUGGGGGCUUGAGAAAUCAAGGAAAUAUGUUUGGGAUUCACCUCUACUCUUCAGGUGCCAGCAGGUUCGGCCCAGCCUGCCGAGAAGUU
This is a long non-coding RNA of Oncorhynchus tshawytscha (Chinook salmon), 2881 nucleotides long. RefSeq lists it as uncharacterized. NCBI's taxonomy places the organism in Eukaryota, Metazoa, Chordata, Actinopteri, Salmoniformes, Salmonidae. The record is from RefSeq and is a predicted model, not a curated record. The transcript has 3 exons.